AGCUCUGAGAGCAGCAGUGAGACAGAGAGAGGCUGAAGGAUCAGUCAGGAGAUGGACACGAGCUACUCACUCACACCAGCAGAUAGGGAGGCACAGGGAAGAGUCUGGCACCAGAUUAGAUGAGAGGGAAGAGGAAAGUCAGGCUGGUGAAGCAAAGGGAACACAGAAACGUGACAGCUGUGAAAGGAGUUCUGGGAGGAGGAGGGAUGAGUUGUUUGAGUGCUGGAGCUGAUUUAUUCACUUUCUGUGGGAAACUAGCUGCAGAUCCCAGUCCACUGUCAGUUCUGAACAUCUGGACAGAUUCUGAACUUACAUCCAAACUCUGUGUUCCUUCUCUUCUCACAGUUUCUUGCCCUUCUCUUUGUCUCUCUUACGUGUCUCUUCUUGCUCUGGUGACAGCUGAAUGCUCCCUGAGAGUGCAGAGCUUGAGGAUUUCCCUAUGGGAAAUGUUUCUGGACUUUCUCAGGACAGUAGGGGGCUGUUCCUUGGAUCAGCACCUGUGAUGGACGUGGAGCAGUGCCCAGCCCUAGGAGCUGGCAAUAAAAUAUAAAUGCACCUUUCUCCAUCCCCUCUUUGGCGCUGUUCAGAACAGCAGGAUGAUGCCAGGGAAUUUUGGGUACUCUAAGCAUGUUCAUAUAAUAUUCGAUCUUAUUCAGCUUUGUUUUGUUGCUUUUUAACCUUUCGAAGCAGGUUUUACUUUCUUCUCUACAAAAGUAAACAACUGAUUCCAGGGCCAGUAAAAAUAUAAUCCCUUCAUAAGGCCUGAAGCUGAGCCCUUCCCAGUAGUGUUAUGGCAGGUCAUUGUUCUGUCAAAAGAUUAUUAACUUUUCUUGGUGUUAAAAUAUAAAUAAAUAAGUAGGAAAGUUGUAUGUGUCCCCAGGGCACUUGCUCAGCUAUGAAAAUACCAAGUACAAGUACAUUUCUCAUUACAGAAAGGAGAAUGGGGAUAUGUUUGGAACAAUAGUAAUCAAUUUCAGAAAUGCUGUGAUUUAUUGGGCAUGGCAGUUUCAGAUUUUUGAAGCAUGUGUAAUACUAUUUUCUCCCCAUCCCUUUUAUACAGACAGAUAAAACUUUUGGUGGAACUAGAACACAAUUCACAUGAUGCAUAAUGCUAAAGAAACAAGGACACAAUAAUUCAUAACAAGUUGCUCUGCUCUUCCCAGAGACAGAUUUUAUUACCAAAGAUUUGGUAUCUGCUUUAAUAACAUUUUUUUUUCUUUUUUUUUCUUUUUUUUUUUCUUUUUUUUUUUUUUUUUUGAUAUGGUUCAUCACUUUCCCAGAGUUUAAAAGCCAUGAAGAGAAAGAUGAGAAUUCUUCUCUUUCAGGAGGGAGUUUUUUCUUCUUGGUCGGCAUGGUAGGAGUUUGUCAGAACGUCACAGAGAUCUAUGAAGUGGCUGCAGACUAAUGUCAUUGGGAAUGAGAGGAGAUUUUGAUCCUGUUUGUUGGAAAGGAAACUUGAAGUAAUGAGCCCAGAGUACAAGGAGACCACUGGAGCUGGAAGAUUUGGAAGCUGCAUGGCAGGAUCAUAAUAGCCACUGGACUUUCAGGCAAAGACAGCAUUCUAGUAACCCUUUCCUGGCUCGUGGUGGUUUUGAAAGGAAGUAAAUAAUUUCCCAUUUAACAAUCCCAAGGAAGAUCCACUGCUGGCAGUGCUGUGUGUUGGCUGUUGAUCCAGAGGAGCAGGUACCCCUGUUCACAAGUUUCACUAACUCUCCUGCAUUCCAAAGAGUUUGGAUCCAAUACCUUAUAGAAAACAGCAAAAUGAGGGCAGUUUCCAGAUAAGCAAAUGCUGGAUUCAGAUAUGGAAACUAAACAAGAACUCUGCAGGUCAGGACUCAAGACAAAUUCCAGAACUGAAUGGAACAAAGCCCAUACAAGCUUGAGGUGUCCUUUUGGAGAGAGAGCAAGAACGUUGGAGAAGUCCUGUGUUUAUAUCUUUAUUUCCAAAAUCCUGUUGUCUUAUGAUGUAUUAGAUUGCCAAUUCAGAUGCUUCCAGAAACCUGGUCUAGUGCCCUCACCUAGGCUGUCUAGGGUAAGCCAACUCAGAAUUGCAAGAAUCUGUGAAACUGGACCAAAUUAAAUUUCUUUGACUCUUAUUGAUACAACCUUCUUCAAGCUUUAGAAUCUUUAGCAGAAGGAAGACUUUUAAAGUGUCAAGCAUGAUAGAGAUCACAGCAGGAGUGCACACUGACAGGCCUCCCCCUAAAACAUUCUCCAGCUGAGUUAUGCCCCUGAGUCAUGGAAUUCACACCCCAACCCCUCCACUGACGCAAACUUUGGAGAGCAGCUCUGUGGAGGAUAACCUAAGCGCUGCCUCCCGAGCUGCAGUGUGCUGUCCCUCCUUGUUAUUGUAACAUCGAUGUACAUAUCUUCCUUUCCUCAUUUGUUACAUCCUAAUGUCAUUAGGACGAGCCUGCAGCAAUUUUAAGAGCUGCCUGCCCAGCCUCUUUGACGUCAUUGCAGAAAGGUCUCGGCUGCAGACCCUGCAUAUACACUCUGUGAUAUAGUGUAUAAAAAUCCGUGUCAGGGCUGGCUCUCAGGGAGCUCUGGAAAUGAUUCAGCUGUCUGGAAUGGGCAGAUGGCUGCUAUCAAAGUUUUAUUAUCACCAUCAUUAUUAUUACAGUGGUUUGUGACACAUACUGAACUUUCAGACUAGUGUUAAAGCUAAAGUCUUUGAGCAACACUUUCUGAAAUUCAAAUCCCUCAGCUCCUUUCCAAUCUGACUCCAAAAAGCAGGAGUAGGUUUAAAGCUAAUUAGACAGAUUGCUUGGUUCCACUUCCAACUUUCAGAAUAAUUAUCUGAAAAUUCUUGUUCUCAUGUAAACGCAACUGUUAACUAUUUUUAAUUGCUUUGAUUUAUUGCAGAACUUAAAUUCAGUACACAUUGAACGUUCAGCAGGGUGGAAAGAAAAUUUGCUUUAGUUAAGGGUGCAUAUGGAUUGGAUUGUCUACCAAGUUUUUACUCUUUGAAAAAGCUUGUACUCAACCUAGGCUACUGCACACUGCCUGCUGGAGGCAUCCUCUAUAACUAAGCAUUCUGAGGCAUUUCUGGGCAGAAAUCUUCUCCUAUUUGUUUUUCCUUCGUCAUCAACCUGUUCCCCCUCACUUAGAGAUGUCUCAGGCAAGGUAUCUACAGGGCAAGAUUUCCUUUAUUAAGGGACAGUUUGUUUCAUGGUAUCUUGGGUUAUGUAACCAAUAAAGUGUAUUCUAUUUCAUCUGUAGAAAACAGUUAGGGGAUGGUUUCUUUUUUCUUUAUCUUUUGUAACUCCAUGGGGGAGGAGGGUGGAUACCUUCUGAUAAUAGACCAGUUGUUAAAACCAGGUGGGGCAGUGUUUCUUAUCUUUUUCAUCAACUUUGUCCACCCUCCAGGGGAUAUCUUCUGUUAAUGGGCCAUUGAGGCUCACCACUGACAUGACCCAGUACAUCAUCCCAUUGUGAGAUGCUCCACCCAGCGGGGAGGAGCCAAUCAUUGCUACCAAGAUAAAAACUGAGAAGUAGGAACACCAAGAUAAAAACUGAGACGUAGGAACACCAAGCAUCCGGUUUUCCACUGGAUUCCCAGAGGAAGUCUGGACCCAUCUCACCAUCACUGGACCCUUUUUCUACAGGAUCAUCUCUACUCCAACAGAACCACCCCUGUCACUCCUGGAAGAUUUAUUUGGACUGCUUCCAACAUCCUGACCAACAGGGUGUCAGGUUGUAUCUCUGACUCUGUCAGGGUUUUCUAGGACUUUUGUUUGGUUGGUUCCUUUUUUUUUUUUUUUUUUUUUUGUACUACUGCAUUUAUAUUUUUAAUAUUCCUAGUAAAGAACUGUUAUUCCUAUUCCCAUAUCUUUGCCUGGAAAACCCUGAAUUGCAAAAUUAUAAUAAUUUGGAGGGAGGGGGUUUACAUUUUCCAUUCCAAGGGGAGCUCCAACUUUCACCUGUCUUUCCAAACCAAGACACAUGGUUACCUACCCUUUGUAGCUUCAUUUUGUUCAGUAUCUUCAUAACACCCUGGAGACCCUUCCAGUGUCAGAAACUCUGCCUCUGGAAGUGCUCUUCUAGCCUAGGCUGGGUCUGAUAUGCUCUUUCCCAGAGAGAAAGGAAAACAAAACCACUUUUCAUUCCUUCUCUUUCUAAGUAUGGUUCUAUUCUCUGUUCCCUUCUUCAGUAACAGAAUUCUGCAUCCAGAUAAGUAUGACAGUAAUUGUUGCUUGUCAUUCCAGACACUCACAGAGAACCACUAAUUGUUCUUUAUCUCACUACAUUUAGGUGCUGUGGAAUCUCCUGAGAGAUUUAAAAUAACCUAAUCAUCAAAUGAAGGCACUUUACUGAGCUUAUGUCUGCCUGGUUUUCAGUUAAUUUCCCCAGCAACCUGGAGGGUUUGUCCUGGAAGCUGUGUCUGUAUGCCCUGAAGUUUUUCUCAAACUCUACUCCCACCUGAUAGCAGGCAAAAAAUACAUUUUUCUGACAUCCUUUGUAUACAUUCUCUUGUCUUCCCUCACUAAUUAACAAGACAGAUAGUGGCACAGAGAGGGGGAAUGAGCCAUGUGGACUAAAUUAUACAGUGCUUAGAGUUCAGUGUAUGAAUACAAAGAUAAUUCAUAAGAUUACUUAGCUAGAAGAAACUAAGAUUACUCUCUUUUACCCCCCCUACCUGAGACACUCAGCCUGACUUACUUCUCUACCAUGACAAGCCCUACAGCUGUCCAAGCAUAAGCUACUUGUUGGAUGUGUACUUGGCUUUGUUUCCAGAGGAAAAGGAGGUGUUGGGGAAAGCUGCAACAAAACCAGUUAAUGAUGAGCUGAAACAGCACGAGAAUUGACUUAAUAAAUAAACUUAUGUUAAGUUGUGUAGUGUUGCCACGGUUUUGCUAAUGACAGCCAAGCUCAUUCACUCACAGUUCAGGGAGCUCCUUGCCUGUUUCUUUUCUGAGACAAGCACCUUUUGACACAGGUUCAUAGAGACCCUUUCCACACCCUCCACCCAGCUGCAUGUCCACAUUUCCUUAGGGUCAAGGCAACAGACGCAUUUUUUUGAGUUAUGAGGAGAGUGAUCUGAAGGAGAUUCACAUGCAAGACAUGAUGUUCACUCCUCAGAGUUCCCCUCACUGCACUCCUGAAUUCCUGCAGUCAACAGCCCAAUUCUUGAGUGCUCUUUCACCUCCAAAGGCUGCUGAGCAGGCUGGAACCUGGUCAGACUGUGCAGAUGAAUCCAACAGUUAGCCUGAAGUCUACAUGCUCUGAUUUGUGUUCAUUAAUUAGGUUUGAGUUUGCAUUUUUUGCUAUAGCACUAGAAUCAGAGAAAUUUGAACAAAAAAACAGACCAUUUUUUUUUCCUUUUGAGUUUUGAUUUUUUUCAUGGAAAUUCUGACAGAGCACUCCUUUCCUAUUGCUUUAGGAAACAUUGGCACUUGAUCUGUUUUAUUUCACAUUUACCUACACAGAGCAAUUUCUGUAGCUUGGGAGAACAUCUCAGCUGCAGGCAAGAAGGAAAAAGCACUGGCCUCAUGAAAUUAUAAUAUGAUCUCUGAGCUUGGCUGGUGACCAUCUUCAGAAGCCACAACAGGCAGGACACAGGGUCAGUCAUUUCAUAUUCAUUUCAUAUUCAUAUUUUCAGGCCUUUUCAUAUAAAGAAAAUCAGGAAGGAAGAAGGGAGGGAAGGAGGGAAGGAAGGAAGGAUUUCUGUAACAUAGAACAUGUUUAAGUUAGGAGUCAGUAUUCCACAGAUAUCUAAUUUCAUGGCUAUAAAACAAACAGUAUUUUUGAAGAUCAUAGAAAUAGGUCCUUGUGAACUUUUGAAGACCCUGAGAAACAAACAAUAAUGGGAUUUUUACUUAUUUGAUUUGAUGGAGAUUUUUUUCCCCCUGGAACCAGAGAUGACUUGGCAUUUGAAAGAAAUAGAUGAAUGUGUCAUCCAGUAUAUGGACAUUUAUUUUCAUUUGAGCUCAUUUGGCUGCAGCACACAAAAAGAACGUUUUCAUCAGUCAUUUCUCAGUUAGAAUUUAGCAAUAUAGAAAUAAAAAAAGGCAAAACCGACUGUGAAAUACCACCUCUGCAUAUAGCUAGAUUUUUGGCCCCCUUGAUUUCCUUGUCCUCUGUAUUCCCACACAUACCGUGGGGCAGAACAGGCUACUGUAGAUGUGAGAAGAAAAUGCUCAUCAUUCUGAUUUAAAGCACAUGUCUCAACCACGCUGUCUUUCCUGAGAGUUUAGCCAGUGAUAACACAUUAAAACCCUUCAGAGUCCACUCAGCACAGGGCUGUGUUACAUUUGCACGUUGGCCUUUUCAUUAAAAUUCAUGAGUAGCAGUGCCUUAAACUUGCCUACUACAAGGAUUUUUUUGUUUGGAUAGCCCAGACAGGCCCAUAAAAGCCACCGGUGCUUUACAUUCUAGAUCCAACUCUGCAACAAUAAAAGUCUUUAAAAAUUGCACAUAUAAGGCAUUAAACCAAAUGCCACAAGAAAACUGUAAAACCCCCACAUUGUAUUCUUAAACUGACAACUUAAUCAUUCCCUGUAAGAUUAGUGUCUUUGCCCUGGCUGAAUUAAAAAAGAUCUUACAUUUCGUGGCUAGAAUUCCAGUAAAAUUGGCCAAUGAUACGCAAAUAUUUUCUUCUCCAUUGAAGACUCCAAAUCAAUCAUUUCUGGAAAGGGGCUACUUAUUUUUUAUUUUUAGGAAUGGUAGCGUGAAUAAGUUCUUACAUUAGGUUAGUAGGAUAUAUAGCAGAUUGCCACUAACUUUUUUAGCUAAUCCAUCUAUUUUGUCAUUCUCACCUGAGAAGGGAUCCUUUUCCUUCAGUUCUCAUGAAAGGUUUAAUGUCAGAUUUUCACAUUUUACAAAAGAUUUAACCAAGUGUACAACAUGACAAAUAUGGGUAACCCUGCUGAUGGGAUAACUACAGGGAAUGAGGUUUUGAACCUUGUGGCAGAGGCUCUCCUGUGACAGCUUCAGAUGAGUCUGCAGACAAGUUUAGGUAUAGAUAGGCCUUGAAUUUAAGAUUAUUUGGGUUUAGAAAUUAUGUAUAGACUGCUUAUUGAAACAAAGAAAAGUAUUUCAUGAACCUAAUUAAUUGUUUAAUUUUAAAUAAUUAAAUUUAAUAAUGUCUAAUUAUGAAAAGACUAGAUUAUGUGAAUUUCCUAUCAAAAAUGACAAACCCCAAAAAUAGAAGACUCUUUGAGUCCUGGAUUAUGGAAGAAUUUCUAGAUUUUUUAAUCAAGUUUGAUUUAAAUUCUCAACCAAAAUUAUCUUAUAAAGAUAUAUGCAGGACCUUGGCUCAUAUGUUAUGAAGAUGAAUUCUUCAACUACCUAGAGAGUUUUUAGCAAACCUUGUAAACUAGAAAAUGUAGCAAUGUUGAAUAAUCACUGAUAUUUUCAUGUUUUUAAUAUUUCAGUUGAAGGGGUUUUUUACAGUUCCCUGCAUUUUCAGAAUUUACUUUUUUACAGUUCCCUACAUUCUCACCCCUGAAUUUCCUAUUUUUGUUUUUUUUUCUCUUGGAAUUGGUGAUCUAUAGUUUGAGCAGCUCUUGGGAAGGUGUACAGAGGUACUCAGUUGCUGUUUUAAACCCCAGAGCAGUGGAAGCAGUACAGUGGUGAUGGUGCAGCUGGUUGGGCACUUACCCAACAUUUUCACAUUAGCAUUUGUGGAUCUGCAAUUUGCUUUUUGACUUCUCAUUUGUGAUUUUCAGCUGGUAAUCCCUUCAUUCUGGUAGUAGAGCACAUUCAGCCUCAUCCUUGCUGGGAUUAUGGUAACCUCUGGCAGAGGAGAAAGUGGGAGGCAGGGAGUGAUGACUUCUGCAGU
Long non-coding RNA from Prinia subflava (tawny-flanked prinia), 7783 nucleotides. RefSeq lists it as uncharacterized. The transcript has 8 exons. The record is from RefSeq and is a predicted model, not a curated record. Lineage: Eukaryota; Metazoa; Chordata; Aves; Passeriformes; Cisticolidae.